RNAcentral lists this ribosomal RNA (253 nucleotides) under uncultured bacterium. RNAcentral describes it as "partial 16S ribosomal RNA". It matches the Rfam family "Bacterial small subunit ribosomal RNA", at positions 524 to 776 of the family's 1533-position model. The record is from RNAcentral.
UACGGAGGGUGCAAGCGUUAUCCGGAUUCACUGGGUUUAAAGAGUGCGUAGGUGGGCAGGUAAGUCAGUGGUGAAAUCUCUGGGCUUAACCUGGAAACUGCCGUUGAUACUAUCUGUCUUGAAUAUAGUGGAGGUGAGCGGAAUAUGUCAUGUAGCGGUGAAAUGCUUAGAGAUGAGGAAGAACACCAGUGGCGAAGGCGACUCUUUGGCCUGUAACUGACGCUGAGGCGCGAAAGCGUGGGGAGCAAACAGG